AACCUAGCACACCUGCGGUGUGUACCUGCGGAAGGAUCAUUAACGAAUAUCUAUGGCGUUGGUUGUAGCUGGCUCCUAGGAGCAUCUGUGCACACCCGUCAUUCAUAUCAUCUUUCCACCUGUGAACUAUGUGUAGGCUUGGAUACCUCUCGCUUUGGUGACAAGGCGGAUGCAAGGAUUGCUGCGUCGACAAGGCCAGCUCUCUUUGAAUUUCCAGGUCUAUGUCUUUUUACACACUCC
RNAcentral lists this unclassified non-coding RNA (240 nucleotides) under soil metagenome. RNAcentral's name for it is "partial contains 5.8S ribosomal RNA, internal transcribed spacer 2, and large subunit ribosomal RNA". The record is from RNAcentral.